ACGGCGGGCUUGGGUGGAGGCGGGUCGCGCGGCGGGGCUAGGGUUGAGGUGGGUCGCGCGGCGGCGGGCCUAGGGUGGCGGUGGGACGCGCGGCGGCCGGGAUGGGGGGAGGAGGGUCUCGCGGAGGCGGAAGGGGCUAGGGCCGGCGGAGGGAGGUGGUGCGCGGCGGCAGGAGGAAGGGGUUGCGGCCGGCGGCGGGAGGUGGUGCGCGGCGGGAGGAGGAAGGGGCCGCGGCCGGCGGAGGGAGGUGGUGCGCGGCGGGAGGAGGAAGGGGACGCGGCCGGUGGAUGGAGGUAGCACGUCUAGGUGCGGUAGGGGCAUGAGGAGGAAGAAGGACGACCCUCUAGAGCACGCGGCGGGAGACCGUCGGCCACUACGAAGGGGCGGUGGUAAGACGGAGGAAGGGCUACCCCGUUGCUACGGCGCGCAUGUCCUUCAAGUAGCGGCGGUGGAGUCCGGCAAGUUACAGCUGCAGAACCUGCGCGGUACGAGGUUGCGGUACCGAACCCGAAGUCGUCGUUUGUUACCUCGGAUGUCCCCCUCGGCGCCCCAACUCCUGCAGGACAAGCUAUCAUGUUGACGAACGAGCCGGCGGCCAGUGAGUUCCUCGAACAGUAACGGAUGGCACGUUGGUAGUUCGCACACGAUUAACACUGACUCCAACGUGACGGGUCGUUAUGUCCGUCGUCAAAGUGUGAUGUCCAUUUACUGUAACGGAGACCCUAUUAAUAGAACGUUUACUAGUCGUUCUUCUAAAUGUCAAAUAAAUACACAAAUAAAUCGAGGUGGGUUAUGACAUUUUUACGUACUCAGAUUAUGGGACACCGGAUCGACUGGCUUAAUCGUACGUUCGAAGAGGAAAGUGGUACUUUAUUUACUAUCUAAGUUGUCAACGAUCCAUUUAGUGUUUAGAUAAAUGAUCUACAUAAUGAUGGGAUGUAAGUACAGCAGUCUUUUCAGGUACAUAAUGAUGGUACCCUCAAGUUUCUUUCCAGUAGAUAUUUUAUCAUAUUGAACACUCGAAGAACGUCUGAUUACUACUCAAUGAUCUAUUUGAAUCCGUGGUGUGGUGUCAGGUAAGUGACGGCGUAGGCUCCGACAAGUUACUACGUUGUUGCUCCAGACCGGAGGGGGGAAGGAUAAAAGUACUUCGUAUAAGACGUUUUUAUAGUCUGCGAGAGUUGACUUAUUUUUCACACAGCGUGUUCAAGUCCAUAUUGACGACGUCCUCAAGUUUUUAGAGUUGUUUGUUUCGAGUUUGGUUUCAAGUUCUUGACAAAGGAAGUAUUUGAUCAAAAGAAAAGCAAUUAAACAACAAGACCUGUAAUGUCUACAUGUAAGAAGUGGUUCAGCUCGUCGUUUCAACAGCGUGGUUUAGCUUGAACGACGACGUGGUAGAAGUGGUUCAGCUUGAACGUCGUCGGUCCAUGGUAUCAGCGAGUUGAACUAGAGAGACCAUCGAGUAGGCCGUUCUGACGAGUUACCAUACUGAAGAAACGUGUUUUAGUCUAGACCAUCAAACAGACUCUCUGUGUAAACAAGACAUAGCAUGACGUGGAACACGAGGGAAGUAGGGUAGGUACGAAUCUACUCUAAAAAGACACGUUAGUCUGAACCCGAUCCCAGUUUUUUAACCACUAGAAUCAAGACUUAACGACCCGUACGUUGAGGAGCAAACAAUUAACGAUUCACUAUCAGACUUGUUAGCUAUUCCCUCGGCGACACGUAAUGAUAACUUUGUGUUCCAACAACGUAAAGAGUUUUUUUUCAGAUUUGGUUCCCUCGGCGACACGUGGUUAGGAGGGGCGGCGCGCCGCUGGUGGAGACAGCGGGGCUCAAGGGUCGACGUACGUAAGUCCUCGUUCUUUUUUCUCUCCAAUUAACAGGCAGGUGUGACGGAGAGGAGGGUUCAGGUGUGAUCAAAAUAGUGUUUUUCGUCUCCUACAGAUAAAAUAAAGGACUUUGUGUUUCAUCCACAAGAGUCAAGUCAUGCACUCGAUAGAGUUCAAGAACCUUUUGUAUAUUUUAUCAUGCCACAAACACGUUUUUUAAGUCUGACAAAAGAUUAAUAUGUCGUCAAAUGAUUUACCAUCUUAACAUCAACAAGUCAUUUUUCCAAGUGAUGGGGUUUACCCCCUAAAAGUUAGGCAAAACAGAAAGAAAAGGUCGACUUUCAACAUCGUUUACACUUGACUUCGACAACACCUCGUUUAAUCCUUAUCAACGGAUGAGAAAACGGCGACGAUGGAACGGUGGAUCUAAUUAUGAUGAUGAUGAUGAAUAGCACAACGAUUUGGAGCACAAGACCUGUUAAACACCCUUUCACACCUCCGCGUUCAACGAGGCGCUGGCUCCUUCCGGGGCCACGAACGGUACGGACUUCUGCCGGAGGUUGGCGGCCCGGGUUUCGUCGGUCGGAAACAAGAGUACGCGCAGAGGAAGGACGCAGUGGAUCCAUACGCGGUGGUGGGCGGCACGAGCUACGAAGGAUGAGGGUAUCGGCAGGAGUCAAGUUGGGGUACCGCAGCUCUACCAGCUCAAUCAGCGCUCGUCGUCAGGCGGCAUGGAUCUUUGACCUAAAAAUAGACGUUUUAGUCAAGUGGCAUGGAUCUUGUUGGUCAAGCUAGGUAGAGGACUAAGACUUUUAUACUUAACACAAAUGACGGUUUUAACUACGAGAUAUCAAGUGUUACAUAUAUACAGUAGUCAAGUUUUUUCUGCAUGUCUUUUUUCAAGUUAAUAUACACAAUUUUGGUUCAAACCAAAAGAUGAUAUACAGUCUAAUAAUGUUUUCUAAAACGAGUACACCGACAUUCGAGAUUGGUAUACCGUUGUUUCUCUUUUUACUCAUACUUCAUAACAACAAAGGCAUAACAAUUCAAGUCAUACAUAAGGUAAAAGUCAUGCAUUUGUUUGUGUGUCCUAGAAAUACUCUCGUUUUUGAUGUUUUACCUUUAGACAUUCAAGUUGAUGUAUAUAAUGUUGUUAACUUUUAUGUUUUUUAAUGUAGUCAAGUUACUGUCUUUUUGUACUCAAGCUUUUCAAAAACUGAGAACUUGACUAUCGACUUUCUAUGCUAUACACAUGACAACUAUUAGAGUUUGUACACAAUGAGUUGAAAUCUUUUGUACAUUUUAACAACACGACGAAACGUUACAGAGGUCGUCAGGAUGAAGAGGUACUGCUGUUCCUGCUGCAGCGGUACGCACGUGCGAGGUUGGACAGGGGACAGCGUCGGGGUGGUGAGCUACGGCUACGUGAGGUUGGGCUCCUGGUGGUACUACCUCCAGCGGAGUGUCGGAUCGCUGCUCACAAACAACCAAAGAGAAAGUAAAUGCCUGUAGAACCCGAACGACCCACGUCUUAGUUCUUCGGGUUAGUAGUAGUCCCUACUUUUUUCCUCUCUUCGUGCCCUUCUCCAUGAUCAUCUUCUCCUUCUUCAUUACACUUUUUACUCUAUUUACACUCUUAUCGUUCAUCAUUUCGUACUCUCCCUAAGUCUAAAACAAAAGUGUAAGAACGACAUGUGCAUGGAAACCAGACAUCUACGUGGCAUUACCUAGAUCCUUCAUACUUACCAAUUAUGGAGUUACCACGUGAUACGUAGAAACCGUCCAAAAAUACGUAAAAAUUUACCAACACCUCGUUAAAUUACCACGCGAUACGUGACUUCAUAUGUAACAAAUAUACAAGAACAUGAGC
Molecule: ribosomal RNA, 3702 nt
Filed under: Triticum aestivum (bread wheat)
Lineage: Eukaryota; Viridiplantae; Streptophyta; Magnoliopsida; Poales; Poaceae
Description: partial small subunit ribosomal RNA
Source: RNAcentral